GCCCGGGAAGGAAUGCGGCAGGCGGAAAACUUGCGGAGAAAGAGCGGGGACCGCCGUGGGGGCGCUGGGUGCGAGUUCCUAAAGGGCGAGGCACUGGGGAGGCUGGGCGUUAGUUGGGAUGGUAUUUACCCGCCGUGUUGUGGCUCUCCAACACACACUCGUUUCAGUUAAAUGAAUUCCUAUAUUUUAUCCAGCAUCUGUACUCAAUGGAUACAUGAAAGAAUGCAGAUCUCUUAGGAUAUUUAGUCAGAAUCAGAACUGGGACACAGAUUCUACCUCUUGAUUCCUUUACAGCUUUGAAACAGAAGUUAUUAAAACACGUGAGAUGGCCUUGGGAGCCUUGGUCAAGAGGACACACACAGCCUGGGGCAUGGGUGCACGGGUGGGGAGAAGGAUACAUGCUGGAAUGGGCAGCACAGGCCUAUCAUCCCAGCUACUGAGGAUGAAGCAUGAGGAUCACAGAUUCAGACCUGCCAGAGAGAUACAGUGAACAACUUAGACUGUCUUAAAAUGUUAACAAAACAAACCUAUUUAAGUGGAGAAGGGAAUGGGCUUCGUUGCAGAGAGCUAUUGCCUCGAAGCUGAGAGGCCUUGGACUCAAUCCCCAAUAUAUCAAAAUCAAUGAAACUGAAGGUGAUGCA
Long non-coding RNA from Grammomys surdaster, 641 nucleotides. RefSeq lists it as uncharacterized. The record is from RefSeq and is a predicted model, not a curated record. The transcript is spliced from 4 exons. NCBI's taxonomy places the organism in Eukaryota, Metazoa, Chordata, Mammalia, Rodentia, Muridae.